UACGUAGGGAGCAAGCGUUAUCCGGAUUUACUGGGUGUAAAGGGCGUGUAGGCGGGCCUGUAAGUUGGGAGUGAAAUCCGGGGGCUUAACCCCCGAACUGCUUUCAAAACUGCGGGUCUUGAGUGAUGGAGAGGCAGGCGGAAUUCCCAGUGUAGCGGUGAAAUGCGUAGAUAUUGGGAGGAACACCAGUGGCGAAGGCGGCCUGCUGGACAUUAACUGACGCUGAGGCGCGAAAGCGUGGGGAGCAAACAGG
This 253-nucleotide ribosomal RNA is filed under the name uncultured bacterium. RNAcentral's name for it is "partial 16S ribosomal RNA". It matches the Rfam family "Bacterial small subunit ribosomal RNA", at positions 524 to 776 of the family's 1533-position model. The record is from RNAcentral.